This 506-nucleotide ribosomal RNA is filed under the name uncultured bacterium. Its description in RNAcentral is "partial 16S ribosomal RNA". It matches the Rfam family "Bacterial small subunit ribosomal RNA", at positions 30 to 523 of the family's 1533-position model. The record is from RNAcentral.
AUUGAAUGCUGGCGGCAGGCCUAACACAUGCAAGUCGAACGGUAGCACAGAGGAGCUUGCUCCUUGGGUGACGAGUGGCGGACGGGUGAGUAAUGUCUGGGAAACUGCCCGAUGGAGGGGGAUAACUACUGGAAACGGUAGCUAAUACCGCAUAACGUCUUCGGACCAAAGUGGGGGACCUUCGGGCCUCACACCAUCGGAUGUGCCCAGAUGGGAUUAGCUAGUAGGUGGGGUAAUGGCUCACCUAGGCGACGAUCCCUAGCUGGUCUGAGAGGAUGACCAGCCACACUGGAACUGAGACGCGGUCCAGACUCCUACGGGAGGCAGCAGUGGGGAAUAUUGCACAAUGGGCGCAAGCCUGAUGCAGCCAUGCCGCGUGUAUGAAGAAGGCCUUCGGGUUGUAAAGUACUUUCAGCGGGGAGGAAGGCGUUAAGGUUAAUAACCUUGGCGAUUGACGUUACCCGCAGAAGAAGCACCGGCUAACUCCGUGCCAGCCGCCGCUGUAA